UACGUAGGGCGCAAGCGUUAUCCGGAAUUAUUGGGCGUAAAGAGCUCGUAGGCGGUUUGUCGCGUCUGCCGUGAAAGUCCGGGGCUCAACCCCGGACUUGCAGUGGGUACGGGCAGACUAGAGUGUGGUAGGGGAGACUGGAAUUCCUGGUGUAGCGGUGAAAUGCGCAGAUAUCAGGAGGAACACCGGUGGCGAAGGCGGUUCUCUGGGCAUUACCUGACGCUGAGGAGCGAAAGUGUGGGGAGCGAACAGG
This 253-nucleotide ribosomal RNA is filed under the name uncultured bacterium. Its description in RNAcentral is "partial 16S ribosomal RNA". It matches the Rfam family "Bacterial small subunit ribosomal RNA", at positions 524 to 776 of the family's 1533-position model. The record is from RNAcentral.